This 28478-nucleotide long non-coding RNA is filed under the name Triticum aestivum (bread wheat). RNAcentral's name for it is "long non-coding RNA (TAES_LNC003295)". The record is from RNAcentral. Lineage: Eukaryota; Viridiplantae; Streptophyta; Magnoliopsida; Poales; Poaceae.
CUCGCCUUUGUCUACUGCUACUAGUGUAAGUGUCAGUCCAAAUUUCUCUCUGUGCAGUGUUCUUACCUCUACUGCUAGUGUUUGUGCUAUGACUCCCCUUACUGCCAUGCUUCUUGUUAAUAUCAAGACCAAGGAAUUAAUCAAGCUUUACUCGAUGGUGUGGACGUGGUCUCCAGAUUUAUUCUAUAUUGUUUAUUCAAUUUUUAGCUCUACUACACUAUCCUCGCACUACUAUGAUUCUUUUUUAAUUAAGCUCAUAACUAGGAAUUAACCAGUGAAUUCCUACUAUUACCGACUUGAUCAAAAAGCGACAAGUUAAUUGCUUCUGAUAGUUAGGUGCUGCCACAAACUAAAUCUAAAUGUUGCUUCUACUGUGUGUGCGCGUGCACUCAUUUCUGGACCCUACAAUAGUCAAGUGAACAUUGACAUUGAUCACUCAAAACAUACUUAGAAAGGGGAUCAGGAAAGGGAAAAUAAAAGGAUAUCAGGAAUUUAUUUGUACAAGAUUUGCACAAAGUAUGUUUAUUUAUUUUUCUGUUUUCAGAAUGAGGCAUGUGCAAAUGAGACAUGGCAAACAUUAGCCAAACAAUGUUCAAUACAACUAGGAAGGGAUCAUUAAGAUGAGUAGCAUACACAGGAAGCUUGAGCUAUUAGCUGUACAUGUAAAUCUUAGCAAGUUAAUAUUUGGGGUUUAAUUCUCAGCAUGACAUGUCUAUUAUAUACAUAGAUUUAGUACAAGACAGAGAUGGACAUGCAUAGUACACAUGCAUCACUAAACCACCAUGUACCAAUUUGUCUUCAUCUAAUUUAUGUGCUUUCUUUUUCUAACCAUCAUUCUUCUUUUUACAAAGUAACUAGAGUCCAAAAGAUCAGGUGUUCAUGUUCUAAGCAAAGAUGAAGAUGGAUCAAGCAAACAAAGCUGCAAAAGCAAGGCACUUGAAUAGUACCUGAUGGCAACUCAGCAUCCGACCAAAAGAGUGGAUGGGGAUGGUGGGGAGAGCUUGGUUCUCUCUUGUGCGUGUUGUGUGCAGUAGAGGAAGUCAAAGGUGAAAGGAGGAGGCUGCUAUUUAUAGUAGUGUAGGGUGCUAGGUCGGUUUGGUAAAAGAGAGAUGUGGCUGACAUGCAUGGUUGCAUGAGCAUGCAAGCCUCCACAUGUAAUCAUGUGAGUUGUACAACGGACAAGUGUAUAGUGCAUGGUUCGACACGAGAUGGCAUAUAAUUUGUGUGUAAGGAAUGAGACAAGGGCCUAAUUAUAAAUCUGCAAACAAUAAGGGAGUUGGAGAAGAACCAUUGUACAUGGCUAAAUACUAACUUUUUUGGUUGCAAUAAAUUUUUGAUAUUAGUGUUGUGGUCAAUUAUAAUUAUUCAACUAACUAUGCCUUGUGACACUGGUGUAACAUAGCGCCGUCAAAAAUAUUGUUAUCUAAUUUUGAGGGUUUUUACAUCCCUUCCCCCUUCGAAAAAUUUCGUCCUCGAAAUUUGAGUUGUGACUCGUAUAGGCUGGCCCAAGUCUAACCCUCUCAGCCUAAUCAUGUAUAGGCUAGCAUUAAAGAUUAUACACUCAAUGCAUAUGGGAUUGUUGUGGAAGACAGGCUCAACAAUUAUUGGGCCUCCGAGUGAGUCUACUUCUAUGAGUUUGGCUAGGGAGGUUCGGUCCAGACUACAUGUCUCAGCAAAGUGUCGGGAUAUGAAAGGAUAUGUUGCCCUUGAUGUAAUAAAAUAAAUAAUAAUAAUACUAAGACUACUGCAAGAGGGAUUUAUAGGUUACUGAUGACCCACAAGUGUAGGGAAUCUAUCGUAGUCCUUUCGAUAAGUAAGAGUGUCGAAUCCAAUGAGGAGCAGAAGGAAAUGAUAAGCGGUUUUCAGUAAGGUUUUCUCUGCAAGUACUGAAACUGUAGGUGAUAGAUAGUUUUGUGAUAAGAUAAAUAGUAACGAGUAACAAGUAAAUAAAGUAAAUAAAGUGCAGCAAGGUGGCCCAAUCCUUUAUGUAGCAAAGGAUAAGCCUGGACAAUUUUUAAUAGUGAUAAAGGAGCUCCCGAGGAAAAAUUGGGAAUUAUCGUCAAGCUAGUUUUCAUCACGUUCAUAUGAUUCGCGUUCGGUACUUUGAUAACUUGAUAUGUGGGUGGACCGGUACUUGGUUACUGCCCUAACUUGGACAAGCAUCCCACUUAUGAUUAACCCCUAUUGCAAGCAUCCGCAACUACAAAAAGAAGUAUUAAGGUAAACCUAACCACAACAUUAAACAUAUGGAUCCAUAUAAGCCCCUAAUGAAGCAACGCAUAAACUACGGUUUAACCUUCUGUCACUCUAGCAACCCAUCAUCUACUUAUUACUUCCCCAUGCCUUCCUCUAGGCCCAAAUAAUGGUGAAGUGUCAUAUAGUCGACGUUCACAUAACACCACUAGAGGAAAAGACAACAUACAUCUCAUCAAAAUAUCGAAUGAAUACCAAAUUCACGUGACUACUAAUAGCAAGACUUCACCCAUGUCCUCAAAAACAAACGUAACUGCUCACAAAGCAUAUUCAUGUUCAUAAUCAGAGGAGUAAUAAUAUGCAUAAAGGAUCUGAACAUAUUAUCUUCCACCAAGUAAACCAAUUAGCAUCAACUACAAGGAGUAAUCAACACUACUAGCAACCCACAGGUACCAAUUUGUGGUUUUGAUACAAGAUUGGAUACAAGAGAUGAACUAGGGUUUUGGGAGGAGAUGGUGCCGGUGAAGAUGUUGAUGGAGAUUGACCCCCUCCCGAUGAGAGGAUCAUUGGUGAUGACGUUGGUGAUGAUUUACCCCUCCCGGAGGGAAGUGUCCCCGGCAGAAUAGCUCUGCCAGAGCCCUAGAUUGAUUCCGCCAAGAUUCCACCUCGUGGCGGCGGAGUUUCGUCCCGUAAGCUUGCCCACAAUUUUUUCCAGGGUAAAAGUGAUGAUAUGGCAGAAGAUGGACGUCGGAGGCCCACCAGGGGGCCUAGGAGAUAGGGGGCGCGCCCCCUGUCUCCUGGACAGGGUGUGGGCCCCCUGGCAUAUUUCAGGACUUUUGGAGCUGUGCAGAAUAGGUUUCCAACGUUUGCUCCUUUUCUAGCUAGAAUUUCAGCUGCCAGCAUUCCCCCUCUUCAUGGUAAACCUUGUAAAAUAAGAGAGAAUAGCCAUAAGUAUUGAGAUAUAAUGUGUAAUAACAACCCAUGAUGCAAUAAAUAUUGAUAUAAAAGCAUGAUGCAAAAUGGACGUAUCAACUCCCCAAGCUUAGACCUCGCUUGUCCUCAAGCGGAAGCCGAAAUUGAAAAAUAUGUCCACAUGUUUAGAGAUAGAGGUGUCGAUAAAAAUAAAAUAUGGACAUGAGGGCAUCAUGAUCAUUCUAAUAACAACUACAUACAUAAAUUUUGUCAUAUGAUUCUCUAUGCUCAAGAUACAAGCAAUUCAUAAUGUCAAGUAUGGUUCAAAAACUUCAUUGGGAACUAACAAACUAUGAUCUCAGUCAUUGAAGCAAUUGCAAUUUAUCGUAACAUCAGAAAGAGUCAAUAAUGGAGCUUUUCAGCAAGCUCACAUACUCAACUAUCUCUUAGUCUUCUACAAUUGCUAACACUCACACAGUACUUGUGGUUAUAGAGUUUCAGCCGGACACUGAGAAAGAUAGGGGCUUAUUGUGUUGCCUCCCAACGUAUUCACCUUUAGGUGAUGUCAACAAUAAUAGCCCAUGCUAACUUACAUCCAAUUGGAUAUAUAUAUAUCAUGAUCUUUCAAACACGAGGAGCUUGCCAAAGGAUAAAAUGAAAAAGGGACAGGUGAGGAUCACCUUGACUCAAGCAUAAAGUAAAAACAUAAAGUAAAAGAUAGGCCCUUCGCAGAGGGAAGCAGAGGUUGUCAUGUGCGUUUAGGGUUGAUGAACAAAAUCUUAAUGCAAAAGAACGUCACUUUAUAUUGCCCCUUGUAUGUGGACCUUUAUUAUGCAGUCCGUCGCUUUUAUUACUUCCACAACAAGUUCGUACAAAGCUUAUUUUCUCUGCACUAAUAAGUCAUACAUAUUUAGGUAGCAAUUUUAUCGCUUGCAACAUGACAACUUACUUGAAGGAUCUUACUCAAUCCAUAGGUAGGUAUGGUGGACUCUCAUGGCAAAACUGGGUUUAAGGGUAUUUGGAAGCACAAGUAGUAUCUCUACUUGGUGCAAGGAAUUUGGCUAGCAUGAGGGGGAAAGGCAAGCUCAAUAUGUUCGGAAGGUCAAUGACAAUAUACUUUAACUGAGAUGUCGGAAAACAUAGACCAUUACGUUGUCUUCCUUGUCCAACAUCAACUAUUUUAGCAUGUCAUACUUAAUGAGUGCUUCACAAUCAUAAAAGAUGUCCAAGAUAAUAUAUUUAUAUGUGAACCCCUCUUUCCUUAUCACUUCCUAUUAAUUGCAACGAUGACCAAGGCUACGUUCAUCAACUCUCAACAAUUUUUAUGCCUCAUACGUUCUAUGUGUGAAGUUAUCACUAUCCAUAAGAUCAAUAUGAACUCCAUUAUUCUUUCUACUUUCUCAAGAUCAUAGCAACAUAGCAAGGCCCUUGAAUCGACACUAAUCUUUAUUAUAGAUAACUCACGGACUCGAUUACAAAAAGAGAUCAAAAAGCAAAACUCGAAACUACUUGAUACCUAAAUUUCAAUCUACUAGAUCAAGAUACUACUAAAAGGAUCGAACUAAAUAAAACGGUAAAGAUAGGAGUGUGAUGGUGAUACGAUACCGGGGCACCUCCCCCCAAGCUUGGCAGUUGCCAAGGGGAGUGCCCAUAUCCAUGUGAUUAUGUCCUCGGAGGUGGUGAAGUAGGAGUUGUUGAUGAUGUAGGCUUGUCGUCCGUCUUCCAAGGCAUAGGCUCUCCAUCAUAAAAGGAUGAACGAGUCUCCGGGAUCCUUAAAUCUGCAGCCAAACUCAUUCGCUUGAAUCUAUAUUCAUACUCACAGUUCUGAUUUUGUAGGUCAUAGAUCUGGGAUUGGAGGUGCUCGAUUUUCUCUUGAAGCUUGAAGAUGGUCUCCCAAAUGACUUUAGCAUCUAGCUUGUGGUUGUUGGUGAACUCUGUGAUCAUCAUCUAGUUGGCGUUGAGUCCACGCUCCACCAUCCCUUGGCACUUUAAAACUUCCUGUUCCAUGGCUUCGAGCUUUGUCUCCACGCUCCCGGUAUGCCUUGGUCCCUCCACAUCGCGGAUGUGCAGCACCCCCUCACGCAUCUCAAUGGUUUGAGGAUGAUGCAGCACCUCCGCGAGAUAGGGGUUGAUAACCCUCUCGAAAAACUUGUCCUUGGGAGCGCUUGGAGACGCCAUGAUGCUCUAGAUCUGAAAUAGUAACAACUCGAAACGAAAACAGUGGAUAUUUGCGUGAUACGGUGGUCAAAACCUUCGGGAGUAUAUAUAAUGAAUUUUUAUCGACCAAAAUACAUAACGUGCAAGAAAACGGAGUCCGGGAGGCACACGAGGUGCCCACGAGACAGGGGGCGCGCCCUACAAGGGGGGGUGCCCUCCACUCUCGUGGGGGCCUCGUGUCCCUUUCUGACUACUUCUUUCUUCCUAAAAUUCUUAAAUAAUCCAAAACUGAUAAAAAUUGCCAUUAGAGUUGUUUUGGAGUCGGUUUACUUACCGUACCACAUACCGAUACCUUUUCGGAGUCUAGAACGUUCUGGAAAGUGUCCCUUAUGUAUUCCUCGGGGGUUACUGUUUCAAUAAUAUUAGUUUCAACAUUGAUAGGAUUACCUGAAAUAUAAUGUUUAUUUCUUUGACCAUUUACCACCCUCGGAUUUGUGCCUUCGAAGUUGUUGAUUUUAUAGCACCAGAACGAUAGACCUCCUCGAUAACGUAGGGACCUUCCCAUUUUGAGAGAAGUUUUCCUGCAAAAAAAAUUAAACGAGAGUUGAAUAAUAACACAUAAUCUCCUAUAUUAAACUCACGCUUUUGUAUCCUCUUAUCAUGCCAGCGUUUGACUUUUUCUGUGAAUAGCUUGGCAUUCUCAUAUGCUUGGGUUCUCCAUUCAUCAAGUGAGCUAAUAUCAAACAACCUCUUCUCACCGGCAAGUUUGAAGUCAUAAUUGAGCUCUUUGAUAGCCCAAUAUGCCCUAUGUUCAAGUUCAAGAGGUAAAUGACACGCUUUUCCAUAAACCAUCUUAUAUGGAGACAUACCCAUAGGAUUUUUGUAUGCAGUUCUAUAGGCCCAUAAUGCAUCAUCAAGUUUUUUGGACCAAUUCUUUCUAGAUCUAUUCACAGUAUUUUGUAAAAUUAAUUUGAGCUCUCUAUUGCUCAACUCUACAUGACCACUAGACUGCGGAUGAUAAGGAGAUGCUAUUCUAUGAUUGACAUCAUACUUAGCAAGCUUCUUACGGAAAGCACCAUGAAUAAAAUGUGAACCACCAUCAGUCAUAAGAUAUCUAGGGACUCCAAACCUCAGAAAAAUAACUUCUUUAAGCAUUUUAAUAGAAGUGUUAUGAUCAACACUACUAGUUGGAAUAACUUCUACCCACUUAGUAACGUAAUCAACAACAACUAAAAUAUGUGUAUAACCAUUAGAGGCAGGAAAAGGUCCCAUAUAAUCAAAGCCCCAAACAUCAAACAGUUCAAUAACAAGAGAAUAAUUCUUAGGCAUUUCUUGACGUCUACUAAUGUUACCUAUUCUUUGACAUUCAUCACAAGAUAAGACAAACUUACGAGCAUCUUUAAAGAGAGUAGGCCAAUAAAAACCAAAUUGUAGUACCUCGUGUGCAGUUCUAUCUCCAGCGUGGUGUCCCCCAUAAGAUUCAGAGUGACACUUGCAUAGAAUCUGUUCCUGUUCAUGCUCAUGCACCCAACGUCUAAUAACACCAUCUACUCCUUUAUAAAGGUGUGGAUCAUCCCAGAAGUAAUGUCUUAAAUCAUAAAAGAACUUUUUCUUUUGCUGGUAUGUGAAACUAGGCGGUAUAUAUUUAGCAACAAUGUAAUUAGCAUAAUCAGCAUACCAAGGAGCAGUACGAGAAGCAUUGACGACCGCUAAUUGUUCAUCAGGAAAGCUAUCAUUAAUAAGCAGUGGGUCAUCAAGAACAUUCUCUAACCUAGACAAGUUGUCUGCAACGGGGUUCUCAGCUCCCUUUCUAUCGAUAAUAUGCAAGUCAAAUUCUUGGAACAAGAGAACACAUCUAAUGAGUCUAGGCUUAGGAUCUUUAUUUUCCAUAAGAUAUUUAAUAGCAGCAUGAUCAGUGUGAAUAGUAACUUUGGAAUCAACAAUAUAAGGUCUAAACUUAUCACAUGCAAACACAACUGCUAAGAACUCUUUUUCAGUAGUAGCAUAAUUUCUCUGGGAAGUAUCAAGAGUCUUACUAGCAUACUGGAUAGCAUUCAAUUUCUUAUCGACUCUUUGCCCUAAAACAACACCUACAGCAUAAUCACUAGCAUCGCACAUAAUUUCAAAAGGUAAAUUCCAAUCAGGCAGCUGAACAAUAGGUGCAGUGAUCAAAGCUUUCUUAAGUACUUCAAAUUCUUCUACACAAUCAUCAUCAAAGAAAAGGAAUAUCUUUUUGCAAUAAAUUAGCCAGAGGCCUAGAGAUUUUAGAAAAGUCCUGAAUGAACCUCCUAUAAAAACCGGCGUGACCAAGGAAACUUCUUAUACCUUUUAUGUCCUUGGGACAUGGCAUCUUUUCAAUAGCAUCAUUGGCCUUAUCAACUUCAAUACUUCUCUCAGAGAUCUUGUGCCCCAAGACAAUGCCUUCAUUAACCAUAAAGUGACACUUUUCCCAAUUCAAGACGAGACUAGUGUCUUCGCAUCUCUGUAAAACUCGAUCAAGAUUGCUCAAACAAUCAUCAAAAGAGGAUCCAUAGACUGAGAAGUCAUCCAUGAAUACCUCACAAAUCUUUUCACAAAAAUCAGAGAAUAUAGCCAUCAUGCCUCUUUGAAAGGUUGCAGGUGUAUUACAUAAACCAAAAGGCAUAUGUCUAUAAGCAAAAGUACCAAAAGGGCAAGUAAAAGUAGUUUUAGAUUGAUCCUUCGCUGAUACAGGUAUCUGAGAGAAACCAGAAUAACCAUCUAGAAAGCAGAAAUGUGCGUGUUUGGAUAGUCUUUCUAGCACUUGAUCAAUAAAAGGUAAAGCAUAAUGAUCUUUCUUAGUAGCUUUAUUAAACUUACGGAAAUCAAUUACCAUCCUAUAACCUGUAAUAAUUCUUUGCGGGAUCAAUUCAUCUUUAUAAUUAGGAACAACGGUAAUACCUCCCUUUUUAGGAACACAAUGAACAGGGCUUACCCAUUCAGUAUUAGCAACGGGAUAAAUAAUACCUGCCUCAAGGAGUUUUAGUAUCUCCUUUCUUACCACUUCUUUCAUCUUGGGAUUUAAUCGUCUUUGAGGAUCUCUAACUGGUUUGGCAUCUUUCUCCACUGAAAUUUUAUGUUGACAUAAUGUGGGACUAAUGCCCUUAAGAUCAUCCAGAGUAUAUUCAAUAGUUGCUCGGUGCUUCUUCAGAGUUUUCAAUAAUCUUUCUUCUUCUUUCUCUGAAAUGUUAGCACUAAUAAUAACAGGAUAUAUUUCUUUUUCAUCAAGAUAAGCAUACUUAAGAUUAUCAAGUAAGGGUUUAAGUUCAAACACGGGAUCACCCUUGGGUGGAGGGGGAUCCCCAAGAAUUUCAACGGGAAGGUUAUGUUUCAGCAUAGGUUCCUGUUUAAGGAACACUUCAUCUAUUUCCUCCCUUUCCUUCAUAAACAUAUCAUUUUCAUGGUCUAGCAAAUAUUGUUCUAAAGGAUCGGUUUGAGGAACAGCAAUGGAAGCAAGACCAAUAAUUUCAUCCUUACUAGGUGGUUCCCUUUCACGAGGUUGUCUACUAAACUUAGCGAAAUUAAACUCAUGAGACAUACCAUCAAUGCCAACAGUGACAAUAUUCUUUUCACAAUUGAUCUUAGCACUAGCAGUAUUCAAGAAGGGUCUACCAAAAAUAAUGGGACAAAAAUCAUCUUGUGGGGAACCAAGAACAAGAAAACCAGCAGGGUAUUUAACUUUCCCACAAAAAACUUCAACAUCUCUAACAAUCCCAAUAGGUUUAAUGGUAUCCCUAUUAGCAAGCUUAAUAGUAACAUCAAUGUCUUCUAAUUCAACAGGUGCAAUGUCAUGCAUAAUUUCUUUAUAUAAAUCAUAAGGUAUAGCACUAGCACUAGCACCCAUAUCACAUAAGCCAUGAUAACAAUGGUCUCCUAUUUUAACAGAAAUAACAGGCAUGCCUACAACAGGUCUACGUGUCUUAGUAUCAGGUCUAGCAAUAUUGGCAGUCUCACCCAAGAAAGAAAUAACAUGCCCAUCUAAAUCCUCAUCCAAGAGAUCUUUAACCAUAGCAAUACUAGGUUCAACAUUAAUUUGCUCAGGAGGUGUAUAAGUCCUAGUAUUACUCUUAUGAACAACAGUCGAAGCAUUAGCAUGAUCUUUUAUCCUAACAGGAAAAGGAGGUUUUUCAACAUAAGCAGUAGGAACAAUAGGAUCACUAUAGGUAAUAGUCUUUUCUUCGACUGUAAUAGGUGCAACUACUUUCACUUCAACAGGAGGAUUAUAUUUAAACCACUUCUCUUUAGGGAGAUCAACGUGAGUAGCAAAAGAUUCACAGAAAGUAGCUACUAUCUCAGAGUCAAGUCCAUACUUAGCGCUAAAUCCACGGAAAGCAUAGGUAUCCAUAAAAGAUUUAACACAAUCGAACUUAGGUGUCAUACCUGACUCCUUACCAUCGUCGGAACCCCAAUAUUCAGAGUUGCGUUUAAUUCUUUCCAAUAAGUCCCAUUUGAAAUCAGUAGUCUUCAACAUAUAAGAACUAGCACAGGAAGUAUCGAGCAGGUUGCGAUUAUCAAGAGAAAGCCGAGCAUAAAGGUUCUGAAUAAUCAUUUCCCGAGAGAGCUCAUGAUUGGGGCAUGAAUAUAACAUUGACUUAAGCCUCCCCCAAGCUUUAGCGAUGCUUUCUCCUUCGCGAGGCAAGAAAUUAUAUAUGUAAUUACGAUCACGAUGAACAAGAUGCAUAGGAUAGAACUUUUGGUGAAAUUCCAACUUCAAUCGCUUAUAAUGCCAAGAUCCCAUAUCAUCACAUAUCCUAUACCAUAUAAAUGCAUCUCCCUUCAAAGAUAAAGGGAAGACCUUCCUUUUGACAACAUCAUCGGGAAUACCUGCAAGCUUAAAUAAUCCAUAAACUUCAUCCACAAAGAUAAGGUGUAAAUCGGGAUGCAAUGUUCCGUCUCCUGCAAAUGGAUUAGCUAGCAGUUUUCUAUCAUACCCGAAGGAAUCUCAAAGUAAAUAUUUUCAUAAAGUUCAGUAAGUUGAGAAGCAACUCUUUGCUCUUCUGGUUGGGGUGAAGAUACCCCAAACAAGCCCCUCAAAGGAUUAGUUUCCAUAGUGACAAGUAACAGAAAAUCUCAGCACACUAUAUAAAUGUUUCUUUACCAAGUUCCACUCACCAAAAGCGCUACACUCCCCGGCAACGGCGCCAGAAAAGAGUCUUGAUGACCCACAAGUGUAGGGGAUCUAUCUUAUUCCUUUCGAUAAGUAAGAGUGUCGAACCCAACGAGGAGCAGAAGGAAAUGAUAAGCGGUUUUCAGUAAGGUUUUCUCUGCAAGCACUGAAACUGUAGGUGAUAGAUAGUUUUGUGAUAAGAUAAAUAGUAACGAGUAACAAGUAAAUAAAGUAAAUAAAGUGCAGCAAUGUGGCCCAAUCCUUUAUGUAGCAAAGGAUAAGCCUGGACAAUUUCUAAUAGUGAUAAAGGAGCUCCCGAUGACACAUUGGAAAUUAUCGCCAAGCUAGUUUUCAUCACGUUCAUAUGAUUCGCGUUCGGUACUUUGAUAAUUUGAUAUGUGGAUGGACCGGUACUUGGGUACUGCCCUAACUUGGACAAGCAUCCCACCUAUGAUUAACCCCUAUCGCAAGCAUCUGCAACUACAAAAGAAGUAUUAAGGUAAACCUAACCACAACAUUAAACAUAUGGAUCCAUAUAAACCCCUAACGAAGAAACACAUAAACUAGGGUUUAAGCUUCUGUCACUCUAGCAACCCAUCAUCUACUUAUUACUUCCCCAUGCCUUCCUCUAGGCCCAAAUAAUGCCGAACUGUCAUGCAGUCGACGUUCACAUAACACCACUAGAGGAAAAGACAACAUACAUCUCAUCAAAAUAUCGAACGAAUACCAAAUUCACAUGACUACUAAUAGCAAGACUUCACCCAUGUCCUCAGGAACAAAUGUAACUACUCACAAAGCAUAUUCAUGUUCAUAAUCAGAGGAGUAAUAAUAUGCAUAAAGGAUCUGAACAUAUGAUCUUCCACCAAGUAAACCAAUUAGCAUCAACUACAAGGAGUAAUCAACACUACUAGCAACCCACAGGUACCAAUUUGUGGUUUUGAUACAAGAUUGGAUAUAAGAGAUGAACUAGGGUUUUGGGAGGAGAUGGUGCUGGUGAAGAUGUUGAUGGAGAUUGACUCCCUCCCGAUGAGAGGAUCGUUGGUGAUGACGUUGGUGAUGAUUUCCCCCUACCGGAGGGAAGUGUCCCCGGCAGAACAGCUCUACCAGAGCCCUAGAUUGAUUCCGUCAAGGUUCCGCCUCGUGGCGGCGGAGUUUUGUCCCAUAAGAUUGCCCACGAUUUUUUCCAGGGUAAAAUUGAUGAUAUAGCAGAAGAUAGACGCCGGAGGCCCAACAGGGGGCCCAGGAGAUAGGGGGUGCGCCCUAUAGGGGGGGCGCCCCCCUGUCUCCUGGACAGGGUGUGGCCCCCCUGGCAUAUUUCUUUCGCUCAGAAAUUCUUAUUAAUUCCAAAAAGUUGUUUCGUGGAGUUUCAGGACUUUUGGAGCUGUGCAGAAUAGGUUUCCAAUGUUUGCUCCUUUUCCAGCCAGAAUUCCAACUGUCGGCAUUCCCCCUCUUCAUGGUAAACCUUGUAAAAUAAGAGAGAAUAGCCAUAAGUAUUGAGAUAUAAUAUGUAAUAACAGCCCAUAAUGCAAUAAAUAUUGAUAUAAAAGCAUGAUGCAAAAUGGACGUAUCAGUUACCCGUGACCACGUCCGAAGCUGCAUUCACUUGUGUCGCAUCGAUGUGUUUCAGGUGGUAUGGUACACGUGCUAGACCACUAGGACCACGUCCGCGGCUAGCCACAAGCACAUUCGCACGUACUUGUGCUGAAUUAGCCCGAUGCUUGUUUUGAGGUGGGACAGUUCCACUCGUGCCAGGUUGUGGUUGACUCUUACUCAGGCAUUUGUUUUGUAGUGACCCUUUUGUCCACAACCAAAACAGACAACACUCGCCUUUGGGCAAUCUCGAGCGAUGUGUGGUCCACCGCACACAUGACACUUUAUAGGGGCUUUAGGAGGCAUAAAGGGUGGUCUAGGGGCUUGAGGGAGAGGAGGACAGAUGGGUCCGACCAUUGGUGGGCGGACUAGGCCAACAGAGUUGUAUCCACUCCUCAUGAGGAACCUCUGGUCCAUUCUAGAUUUCUUUCUCCGUUCUUCCUCUAUGGCUAAUUGCCGAUUCUCAAUAAUAAUGACUCGAUCUACUAGCUCCCGAAACUUAGUUAUAUUUAUAGGGGCUAUGAUCAGCUGUAUGGAUGGCUUCAAUCCUUCUAUGAACCGGUACACCCUUUUGGUCUCAGUGUUUGUGUCUUCUGAUGCAUAGCGGGAUAGUGAGUUAAACUCAUCUAGGUACUCUGCGAUGGUUUUAGACCCUUGUUUAAGGCUUAGGAAUUUCUUACUUUUUAGUUCCAUCGCACUUUGCGGGACAUAGUUAUCUCGGAAUCUCCUCUUAAAUUCCUCCCAAGUAACUAUGUGGUUUUCGGGUAUGAUAAUUUGGACAUUUCUCCACCAUGUGGCAGCAGGACCAAUUAACCGAUGGGAUGCAUACCGAACUUUUUCUUGAUCCGUGCAUCCCACAGUGUUAAGUUUCAGCUCUAUGUCCAUCAACCAAUCCUCUGCGGCUAAUGGAUUGUGGCGGUUGAAAAGGUUGGUGGUCUAGUCUUUUGGAAGUCUCCAAUCGUGACACCUUGUUCUGGGUUUUUAGUCAGUUGGCCUCUCGUCACACUGAACAUCUGCUCCAUGAACUUAUUCUGGUGUUCUAGAGAGUCUCGAUGAGACUGCUCCAUCCACUGAUACAUUAGAGCAAGUUGAUCGGAUCCAGGGGCAUGAUGGGGUAAUGGUGGAGGUGGAGGUAACGUCACUCUAGACAACAAAUCUGCCAUGUUCCUUAGCCACUCGGGUGCUAAAUCUGAUGGGUUCCCAUUGUCUUCGAAUGACUGACUACCAGAUGCCAUCGCUACCGAUCUGGUGGGCAAGGCAUAGGUUAUAACGAUAGCUACUACAUGUGAAAAUAUUUUAUUUAUUUGAUUAGAGGUGAGAUUUUAGCCCACACAGUACACUUCACGCUUCCUUUUUUGGAGCAUCUAUUUAAACAGUGCACUUAACAGCGACAUACUAGAAAAUUUUGCGAAACAUUUUUUUACUUGUUGUUGGCCGAAGAAUAAAAGCAGUCAAACAAAGUGAUUCUUUUUAUCAUGACAGAGGCAAGAGAUUAAUCACAAUUCAAAAAUAGAGCCACUUGCACAUGCACAUGCACACACAAGUUCUUCAUGUACCGGAUUAAAAGCAUUCAAUCAUCAAGUGCGUGACAUACAUCAAUUGAACUCAUGAAGUGCUAGGAAAAAUGUAGCGGCAUCAGCACAUAAUAUAUAUACUAGCCCAACACGUGAUGUACCAAGGCAUGGACUGGAAUGAAGAGAUCACCCGAAAAAAUCUACCAUACAUCAGACGCCAUUAUGAAGCAUUGGCAACAACGUGGCAACAACAUCACAUACAGUAUUCCAUCAUACAGAGCAAGGAGCAUAAAAAGAACCAGAAUUUAAAAUGACAUGGCAUAUGCGUCACACGAGAUCACCUAGUAGUAGAAUAUCAGUACAUCCAUAAGUCCACCGGUCCACAUGAAUACAUCACAUAACAUAAUCGCAACACCACACAUGACUAUUUGUCGUACCAUCAGGUUACCAUGACUAUCUAUAUAUGUACCUAGAAAAAAAGUAUAUAUGUCUCCCUAUCUGCCUGUCGGGACCAAUCUGGGUAAAUAUGGUUGUGUAAACUCUAGAAGGGUAGCUAUGUCUACAAGACCUUUCUAAUUAUGUACAAAAUCCAAAAGGACAACCUCCAUGCAUCUGCCUAAACAUCUAAUAAGUGGUGGAACUAACUCUGCGAGGAGUAACUAUCUAGCAUGAUGCCACAACCUUGUUAGAAAACUAACUACUACUACUAAUAGUACGAAGUCAAUCCUCCCUGAUGAGAAGACUAGGUGAAAUGGUGAGGAGCAAGUCGGGGUUGAGGACAGAAGUCGGUGAAGGUAUAGACUGACUGGGUGCGGUGCCUCUGAAGAGUGCCUACUUGGUCUAACAGGUCCUGAACAAGCUGAGGUGUAGGUGGACACCUGUACGGUGUAGAGGGACGAGACACUGCUCGAGCGGGGGAACCCCUAAAAACUCUAGGAGUUGGGCAGUCUGCACGAGGGGGUGGAACUGCUUGGUACAAAUGAGGAAGAGCGGCAGUCAGAGUUAGUGGUGGUAAAAACGUGAGAGGUAAAACAGGAGGACGUGGUGGAAGUGGAAGGAAAGCAAAAGUGGACGCAAAAUGGUGAAGGAGCGACAGUGGGUGGAGGUGCUGACGAAUUCCCUGAUUACUCUUAUUGAUGAGCCAAUUGCCUCUACCACGCAAACAAGGAGAAGGUGGCAGGCAUGGAAAAUAUGUAAAGUGGCAUUCCAUGCCGCACCCUAAAGUGCUGAAGCAAAGUUGUAUUGUGCGACACUAUGCCUAGAUGGGACAUCUAAGCCCUCGGGUAUGUGCACUGUGACUAAGUACCCCGUGGAAUGAUACGUCUCUAAAGUAUCUAUAAUUUUUGAUUGUUCCAUGCUAUUACAUUACCCCUUUUGGAUGUUUAUGGGCUUUAUUUUACACAUUUAUAUCAUUUUUUGGGACUAACCUACUAACCGGAGGCCUAGCCCAUAUUGCUGUUUUUUGCCUAUUUCAGUAUUUCGAAGAAAAGGAAUAUCAAACGGAGUCCAAACGGAAUGAAACCUUCGGCAACAUGAUUUUUUGGAAGAAUAUGAUCCUGGAGACUUCGAGUCCAUGUCAGAAGAUCCUCGAGGGGGCCACGAGAUAGGAGGUCACGCCCCCCUUACAGGGUGGUGGCCUCCUAUCUCGUGGGCCCCUCGAGCACCUCCCGACUGACUUCUUUCGCCUAUAUAAGCCUACGUACCCUAAAACCAUCAAAAAUCAAGAUAGAUUGGGAGUUCCGCCGCCGCAAGCCUCUGUAGCCACCAAAAACCUCUCGGGAGCCUGUUCCGGCACCCUGCCGGAGGGGGAAUCCAUCACCGGUGGCCAUCUUCAACAUCCCAGCGCUCUCCAUGACGAGGAGGGAGUAGUUCACCCUUGGGGCUGAGGGUAUGUACCAGUAGCUAUGUGUUUGAUCUCUCUCUCUCUCGUGUUCCCUCUAUGGCACGAUCUUGAUGUAUCCCGAGCUUUGCUAUUGUAGUUGGAUCUUAUGAUGUUUCUCCCCCUCUACUCUCUUGUGAUGAAUUGAGUUUUCCUCUUAAAGUUAUCUUAUCGGAUUGAGUCAUUUAUUUGAGAACACUUGAUGUAUGUAUUGCCCUGUUUAUCUGUGAUGGCAAUGAGAUAUCACGUGCCUCUUGAUGUAUGUUUUGGUGACCAACUUGCCGGUUCCGCCCAUGAACCUAUGCAUAGGGGUUAGCACACGUUCUUGACUCUCCGGUAGAAACUUUGGGGCACUCUUUGAAGUACUUUGUGUUGGUUGAAUUGAUGAAUCUAAGAUUGUGUGAUGCAUAUUGUAUAAUCAUGCCCACGGAUACUUGAGGUGACAAUGGUGUAUCUAGGUGACAUUAGGGUUUUGGUUGAUUUGUGUCUUAAGGUGUUAUUCUAGUACGAACUCUUGAAUAGAUUGAUCUAAAAGAAUAACUUUGAGGUGGUUUCGUACCCUACCAUAAUCUCUUCGUUUGUUCUGCGCUAUUAGUGGCUUUGGAGUGACUCUUUGUUGCAUGUUGAGGGAUUUUUAUAUGAUCUAUCUAUGUUAUUAUUGUUGAGAGAACUUGCACUAGUGAAAGUAUGAACCCUAGGCCUUGUUUUCUAUCAUUGCAAUACCGUUUACACUCACUUUUAUCAUUAGUUACCUUGCUGUUUUUAUAUUUUCAGAUUAGAAAUACCUAUAUCUACCAUCCAUAUUGCACUUGUAUCACCAUCUCUUCGCCGAACUAGUGCACCUAUACAAUCUACCAUUGUAUUGGGUGUGUUGGGGACACAAGAGACUCUUUAUUAUUUGGUUGCAGGGUUGUUUGAAAGAGACCAUAUUCAUCCUACGCCUCCUACGGAUUGAUAAACCUUAGGUCAUCCACUUGAGGGAAAUUUUCUACUGUCCUACAAACCUGUGCACUUGCAGGCCCAACAACGUCUACAAGAAGAAGGUUGUGUAGUAGACAUCAAGCUCUUUUCUGGCGCCGUUGCCAGGGAUGUUAGCGCUUGAAGGUAUAUCUUUAGAUCUUGCAAUCGAAUCUUUUUGUUUCUUGUUUUAUCACUAGUUUAGUUUAUAAAAGAAAACUAUAAAAAAAUGGAGUUAAGUUUGUCUCAUAUUAUCUUUUUAAUAUCUUUCGUGAGCAUGAUGGAAAGGAAAAUUGUGCUCAAGUGCUAGAAGAAGAAUGCAUUAAAAUGCUUGGUAGUAAAUCUUUGAAUGAUGAGCAUGAUUGCAAUGUUGUUAGUAUGAAUUCCUUGAAUAUCCAUGAUGCUAAUGAUAUGCAAAGCCACAAGCUUGGGGAAGAUAUGUUUGAUGAAUAUGAUAUAUUUUGUCCCCCAAGCUUUGAUGAGCAAAUUUAUUUUGAUGAUAGCAUGCCUCCUAUUUAUGAUGAUUAUAUUGAUGAAAGUGGGUUUGGAAGAGUGACAACUUUAGGAAGUAGUGAUCCCACUAUUUUGGAGGAUGUUGAAUCUUAUUACGAUGAACAUGAAAGUGGAUUUGGAAGAGUGUAAACUUUAUUUAGUGAUGAAUCCACUAUUUCGGAAGAGGUUCCAAUUGAUUAUGAGAACAAAGUUGCUAUCUAUGAUGAUUAUUGUGAUGACUUGUAUGCUAUUAGGAAUAAUGAUAACCAUGAAACUUGUCAUCAUGAUUUUAGUUUUGAAUUGGAUUAUGCCUCACAUGAUAAUUAUUUUGUUGAGUUUGCUCCCACUAUUAUUCGUGAGAAGAAAUUUGCUUAUGUGGAGGGUAGUAAAUUUUAUAUGCUUCUAGAUCAUGAAAAGAAUGCUUUAGAUGCUGGUUAUAUUGUUGAAUUCAUUCAUGAUGCUACUGAAAAUUAUUAUGAGGGAGGAACAUAUGCUUGUAGGAAUUGCAAUAACGUCAAGUUUCCUCUCUAUGUGCUUACAUUUUUGAAGCUAUGCUUGUUUUACCUUCCUAUGGUAGUUGAUUAUUGUUCCCAUAAGUUGUUUGCUCACAAAAUCCCUAUGCAUAGGAAGUGGGUUAGGCUUAAAUGUGCUAGUCAUAUGCUUCAUGAUGCUUCCGUUAUGUUUCAAUUCUUAUCUUUUUGUGAGCAUCAUUGUCAUCAUCAUGCCUAGCUAGAAAAGCAUUAAAGAAAAGCGCUUGUGGGAGACAAUCCAAUAUUUAUCCUUACUGUUUUUGUGUGUCCACAUGAUUAUGCUACUGUAGUAAUCAUGUUUUAUAGCUUUUGUUUCAAUAAAGUGUCAAGUAAGACCUUUAGGAUAGCUUAUGGUGAUAGUUGUGUUGAUCCUGCUGAAAAUCAGAAACUUUUUCACCCAGUAAUUUAGUUUUUUUAAUUCACAGAAACGUUCGUCUAGUCUGAUUCUUUUUUCUUUGGAUUGGUACACAAAUUUCUUAGAACUUCCUAAUGUUGUAGGAUUUUUGGAGUUCCAGAAGUAUACGUUUGAUACAGAUUACUACAGACUGUUCUAUUUUUGACAGAUUCUAUUUUCUAUGUGUUGUUUGCUUAUUUUGAUGAAUCUAUGAGUAGUAUCGUAGGAUAUGAACCAUAGAUAAGUUGAAGUACAGUAGAUAUUACACCAAUAUGAAUUUAGAAUGAGUUCAUUACAGUACCUAAGCGGUGGUUUUAGUUUCUUAUACUAAAGGAGCUUACGAGUUUUCUGUUGAGUUUUGUGUUGUGGAGUUUUCAAGUUUUGGGUAAAGAUUCGAUGGACUAUGGAAUAAGGAGUGGCAAGAGCCUAAGCUUGGGGAUGCCCAAGGCACCCCAAGUUAAUAUUCGAGAAUAGCCAAAAGCCUAAGCUUGGGGAUUCCCCAGAAGGCAUCCCCUCUUUCGUCUUCGUUCAUCGGUAACUUUACUUGGAGCUAUAUUUUAUAUUCACCACAUGAUAUGUGUUUUGCUUGGAGCGUAAUUUUCUUUUCUUAGUAUUUUCUUGCUGUUAUUUAGAAUAAUGUUUUGCAUCUUUAGUUUCAAUAAAAAAGUCAAGGAUAGCCUUUGCCAUGCUUAUUUUGCUAUUAUACAUGUUGCUGUUUGAAAACAGAAAGUUUACUGCUGUUGCGAAAAUUCCCUAGAAAAGUCAGAGAAUGGUAUAAUGUUGAAACCUUUUGCAUGAUGAGAUCUGAUAAAUUUACUACAGUGGGAAUUUUAUUUCAUAAUUUUUGGAGUUAGGAAAGUAUGGAUACUCUUGCAUUUUUUACAGACUGUACUGUUUUGGCAGAUUGCUGUUAUGUUUGCAUUGUUUGCAUAUGUUUGCUUGUUUAAUAAUUCUAUUUGAGGAUAGGAAUAUUAAAUAUGCAGAGGCAUUUAGUAUGAAAUGUUGAACAAUAAUUUUAUUGAUUUGUUAUAGUAGAAUAUGAUAAGGUUUUGCAUUGGUUUGUACUAACCUAUCUCACGAGUUUUUGUUGAGUUUGUUGUGAAUGAAGCUUUUGAGAAAUAGAGAAUUCAUGAUAUGAGAGAAAUUAAGGAGACACAAAAGUUCAAGAUUAGGGAUGCCCAAGGCACUCCAACAUAAUAUUCAAGAAGUCUCAAGCAUCUAAGCUUGGGGAUGCCCGGUAGGCAUCCCACCUUUCUUCUUCAACAACUAUCGGUUAGUAUCGGUUGAGCCUAAGUUUUUGCUUCUUCACAUGAGUUGUGCUAUCCUUAAAAUGUCAUUUUAUUUUAUUUUGUUUGCUAUUUGAAUAAGAUACCAAGAUCUAAAAUUUCUUAAUGUUAGAAAGUCUUCACAUAUUUGCACAAUUAUUCGACUACUCAUUGAUCUUCAUAUAUCUUUCGGAGUAGUUUGUCAUUUGCUCUAGUGCAUCACUUAUAUCAUUUAGAGCACGGAGGUGGUUAUAUUUUGUAUAAAUUGUUGACCUCUCAUGCUUCACUUAUAUUAGUUUGAGAGUCUUUUAGAGCAGCAUGGUAUUUGCUAUGAUUACAAAGUUGGUCCUAGAAUGAUGAGCAUCCAAGUUGGGUAUAAUAAAAACUAUCAUAGAAAGUGAAUUGGAUGCUAUGAUCAACUUGAUGCUUGAUAAUUGUUUUGAGAUGUGGAGGAAGUGACAUUAAAGGCAUGCUAGUUGGGUGAUUAUGAAUUUAAAGAAUGCUUGUGUUGAAGUUUGUGAUUCCCAUAGCAUGCACGUAUGGUGAACCACUUUGUGAUGAAGUUGGAGCACAAUUUUAUUUAUUGAUUGUCUUCCUUAUGAGUGGCUGUCGGGGACGAGUGAUGGCCUUUUCUUACCAAUCUAUCCCCCUAGGAGCAUGCGCGAAGUGCUUUGGUUUUUGAUGACUUCUAGCAACAAGUAUAUGAGUUCUUUUGAUUAAUGUUGAGUCCAUGGAUUAUACGCACUCCUUCACCCUUCCACCAUUGCUAGCCUCUCUUGUACCGUGCAACUUUUGCUGGUACCAUACACCCAUCAUAGUCCUUCCUCAAAACAGCUACCAUACCUACCUAUUAUGGCAUUUCCAUAGUCAUUCCGAGAUAUAUUGCCAUGCAACUUUCCACCGUUCCGUCCAUAUGACACGCAUUACUUUUGUCAUAUUGCUUUUUGCAUGAUCAUGUAGUUGAUAUUGUAUUUGUGGCAAGGCCACCUUCAUAAUUUUCAUACAUGUCGCUCUUGAUUCAUUGCAUAUCCCGGUACACCGCCGGAGGCAUUCAUAUAGAGUCAUAUCUUGUUCUAUCUUUGAGUUGUAAAUCCAUAAAAGUGUGAUGAUCUUCAUUAUUAGAGCAUUGUCCUAGUGAGGAAAGGAUGAUGAAGACUAUGAUUCCCCACAAGUCGGGAUGAGACUUCGGACUUUACAAAAAGAAAAAAAGGAAAACAAGAGAAAGGCCAAAAAGAAAAAAGAAAAAAAAAGAGAAGGCCAAAGAAAAGAAAAAAAAAGAAGAAAAAGAAGAUAGAAAGGACAAUGCUACUAUCUCUUUUUCCACACUUGUGCUUCAAAAUAGCACCAUGAUCUUCAUGUUAGAGAGUCUCAUAUGUUGUCACUUUCAUAUACUAGUGGGAAUUUUUCAUUAUAGAACUUGGUUUGUAUAUUCCAAUGAUGGGCUUCCUCAAAAGUGCCCUAGGUCUUCAUGAGCAAGCUAGUUGGAUGCACCCCACUUAGUUUCUUUUGUUGAACUUUCAUACAUUUAUAGCUCUAGUGCAUCUGUUGCAUGGCAAUCCCUACUCACUCACAUUGAUAUCUAUUAAUGGGCAUCUCCAUAGCCCGUUGAUACGCCUAGUUGAUGUGAUACAAUCUUCUCCCUUUUUUGUCUUCUCCAUAACCACCAUUCUAUUCCACAUAUAAUGCUAUGUCCAUGGCUCACGCUCAUGUAUUGCGUGAAAGUUGAAAAAGUUUGAGAAUAUUAAAGUGUGAAACAAUUCCUUGGCUUGUCAUCGGGGUUGUGCAUGAUUAAAUACUUUGUGUGAUGAAGAUAGAGCAACAGCCAGACUAUAUGAUUUUGUAGGGAUAACUUUCUUUAGCCAUGUUAUUUUGAGAAGACAUGAUUACUUUGAUUAGUAUGCUUGAAGUAUUACUAUUUCUUAUGUCAAUAUGAACUUUUAUUUUGUAUCUUUUGGAUCUGAACAUUCAUGCCACAAUAAAAAAAUUACAUUGAGAAUUAUGCUAAGUAGCAUUCCACAUCAAAAAUCUGUUUUUAUCAUUUACCUACUCGAGGACGAGUAGGAAUUAAGCUUGGGGAUGCUUGAUACGUCUCUAACGUAUCUAUAAAUUUUGAUUGUUCCAUGCUAUUAUAUUACCCCUUUUGGAUGUUUAUGGGCUUUAUUUUACACAUUUAUAUCAUUUUUGGAACUAACCUACUAACCGGAGGCCCAGCCCAUAUUGCUGGGUUUUUUUUGCCUAUUUCAGUAUUUCGAAGAAAAGGAAUAUCAAACGGAGUCCAAACGGAAUGAAACCUUCGGCAGCGUGAUUUUUUGGAAGAAUAUGAUCCUGGAGACUUGGAGUACACGUCAGAAGAUCCUCGAGGAGGCCACGAGAUAGGAGGCCGCGCCCCCCUUACAGGGUGGUGGCCCCCUAUCUCGUGGGCCCCUCGAGCACUUCCCGACCGACUUCUUUCGCCUAUAUAAGCCUACGUAUCCUAAAACCAUCAAAAAUCAAGAUAGAUCGGGAGUCCCGCUGCCUCAAGCCUCUAUAGCCAGCAAAAACCUCUCGGGAGCCCGUUCCGGCACCCUGCCGGAGGGGGAAUCCAUCACCAGUGGCCAUCUUCAUCAUCCCGGCGCUCUCCAUGAUGAAGAGGGAGUAGUUCACCCUCGGGGCUGAGGGUAUGUACCAGUAGCCAUGUGUUUGAUCUCUCUCUCUCUCUCGUGUUCUCUCUCGUGUUCCCUCUAUGGCACGAUCUUGAUGUAUCCCGAGCUUUGCUAUUGUAGUUGGAUCUUAUGAUGUUUCUCCCCCUCUACUCUCUUGUGAUGAAUUGAGUUUCCCUCUUGAAGUUAUCUUAUCGGAUUGAGUCUUUUAUUUGAGAACACUUGAUGUAUGUAUUGCCCUGUUUAUCUGUGGUGACAAUGGGAUAUCACGUGCCUCUUGAUGUAUGUUUUGGUGACCAACUUGCGGUUCCGCCCAUGAACCUAUGCAUAGGGGUUGGCACACGUUCUUGACUCUCCGGUAGAAACUUUGGGGCACUCUUUGAAGUACUUUGUGUUGGUUGAAUUGAUGAAUCUGAGAUUGUGUGAUGCAUAUCGUAUAAUCAUGCCCACGGAUACUUGAGGUGACAAUGGAGUAUCUAGGUGACAUUAGGGUUUUGGUUGAUUUGUGUCUUAAGGUUUUAUUCUAGUACGAACUCUUGAAUAGAUUGAUCCGAAAGAAUAACUUUGAGGUGGUUUCAUACCCUACCAUAGUCUCUUCGUUUGUUCUCCGUUAUUAGUGGAUUUGGAGUGACUCUUUGUUGCAUGUUAAGGGAUUGUUAUAUGAUCUAUCUAUGUUAUUAUUGUUGAGAGAACUUGCACUAGUGAAAGUAUGAAUCCUAGGCCUUGUUUCCUAUCAUUGCAAUACCGUUUACGCUCACUUUUAUCAUUAGUUACCUUGCUGUUUUUAUAUUUUCAUAUUAUAAAUACCUAUAUCUACCAUCCAUACUGCACUUGUAUCACCAUCUCUUCGCCGAACUAGUGCACCUAUACAAUCUACCAUUGUAUUGGGUGUGUUUGAGACACAAAAGACUCUUUGUUAUUUGGUUGCAGGGUUGUUUGAGAUAGACCAUCUUCAUCCUACGCCUCCUACGGAUUGAUAAACCUUAGGUCAUCCACUUGAGGGAAAUUUUCUACUGUCCUACAAACCUGUGCACUUGCAGGCCCAACAACGUCUACAAAAAAAAAGGUUGUGCAGUAGACAUCAUGGAACACGGGUCAUGAAACACUUUGUAGUACGGUGCAAGCAACACAACAAGAAUACGAAGAAGCACAAUCAAGAAUAGAGCAAAACCACAGUACUCGACACCCGUACGACACAAUCUACCACUCAACAUCCUACAUUAAGAAAUUAAGAAUUUAGUACUGAUUUAGGACAAAAUAAGUACGUAUAUUCUGAACACAUUUUACUUGCAUAAUUCUAAGUAUGAGGUUUAAUUUAUUUAAUCUACUCUUGACUUGAGUCACUUUUUUUCAAAGAGUAUAUAUAGGAGACGUAGAACUUGAGAUGACAAGAGAUGGAUUUUUUUGAGAAACUUUUAUUUUCUUUAGGUAAGGAGGGAACCUGUCUUUUCUAAGGCUUAACAGACUCUAACUAAGUACAUGACUCUUUCCUUAACGAUGCUCUGAUACCACCUCUUCUGUGACGCCCUGUUACGUCCAACAGAGUUAGGCGUAACGGAAGCCGUCACUUCAGAGUUGCGCCAGGAUCAGUUAAGGAAAAUAGUAUCAUGUACAAGACGGAGCAACUGCCAUGAGUAGGCAAGCUUUUAUUACAUAGACACCUCAAGUGUCGACUAAGCCUAAGCGACCAUGACGAUAGAUCGUCACCCGCUUCUAGUGCGAGCCUUCUAGACCAACCAUGGAGGACAUCUACUCUUCAUAGACUUGAUUGCCAACAUCCUCAUGAUCAUACUUCACUUCAGAAUAACCAUAGUCGUCAAGAUGACCAGACUCAUCAUUUGUACCAUUCUCUAGUGCCUUAGAGUUCUCAUAACUCCCUUGUUCUGAAAAACAACAUAAGUGCAGCUGAGUAUGUAUAAAAUACGUGCUUCGUAAGUCGCCGGGAAAAGUGGAUGCAUGAGUAUUUUUAAGAGGAAAAACUUUAUCGGCCAUGGCUACCACCACCGAGCCAUUAGCUCAAAAUACUUUGUAGGUAAAAAAAAUAUUUUCCCUUAACCUGAAAAUCAAAUUUUAUUUAUAAAAUCUACUGGCGACAGAGCGAUGUGGGAUCUUACAUCCUGUGUUAGAGGAAAACCCACACGACGCACUUCCAAACCCGGAAGCUGGGAGUGAUAUCACAUUUAUUCUGAUCAGAGGUGUACUGCUUUGCCCGUAGCAUCACUUGGUCCAAGUCGUCCAUGCGCUACCCGUGCGCACGACUAGAUCAAGGAACCAGAACCUUUAACCAGCUCGUAGACUACCUCUGCUUUUCCACCUUGCCUUACUAUAGGCCCGCGGGCCGAGACCCCUGACCGCCGGUCCCGCCCUAGGGUGACUGUACCUACCCGGCUACAGCCACCUUCUCACCCAUGCAGAGGCAACUACUUGGCAUCGGUAGUCGGUUCAGCCCGUCCCAUUCCAGGCCUAUGGUCAGUACGGUUUGCGCCGCUUUUGACGUAAGCGCCAGUUGGUUGUGUCCUAAUGUGAUACCCUAUGUAGAGGAGUCUGCCAUCCAAGCCAACCCUACAUGGGUCGUCUUCACCAACAUGAGCUCCCAUACCCACCAAAUUUUUAGUUAUAAUGUAACCCUGCCCGGGUCACGACUACUUAAUACAGAUACUUCACUUGAUCUGGUCCAAUUGCCAAAUCAGUGGAUCCACCUGAUCCAAAUAUCAUUUUAUUUAUGAAAAGUAUUUAUUUUUAAUUCUUAUGCAAAAUUUUGGAAAUGACUCAUAGCCCGGAAAACAUUUAUGAAGACAUGAUCAAGGAGAUGACGACUUGCCGGGUAGCGCCCCGACCAACUCGAAACCACCAGAUGGGGGUCCUAUGGGUCUGAGAUCGACUCCUGAUAAUUAUUUCACAAAGAAGUUUAUAUUUUCCCUAAUCAAGAUCCAAGCAUCAAGAAACAAUUCCAUACGGUGCAAUCCAUUUUAAUUAAAGAGGCAAUGAUACAUGCUAGUGUGUAAUUAGAAGCAAAAUGCAUACAACACAUCAAGAAGUAGUACGCACAUGCACAUCACAAAGAGCAAGCAAGCAAGCUCAAAAGGAAAAAUGUGUUUAGCUGGUCGAACCCAACCCCGGCAGAAAUAUCAUUUCUUUUUUCUCCAACUAGUCAUCUUCCCCAGCUCUCUACCUCUCUCUCUCACUGUCACUGGUAUGCUCAGCCACGAACAUAACCAACUCCAUCUCUCUCUCCCUAACUACAGAGCAGGCCGCCGCCGGCUCGAUCUGCCACUUCCGGCCAUCUCCGGCGACACCGCGGACACCCACAGAAUCCCCUCAACUCCCUCUACCAUAUACCCCCAUUUAUUUGAUCCGCCGCCGCCAAAAUCGCCGCCACCCUCAAACCCCAGCGCCGUCUGCAUCGGGUCCGAUGGGUUCACCACGGGCCGCAGCAGCAAUGGCAUCUCCCUACCUACAAACUCCUCCUGCAGAGCUGCACGCACGAGGCGUGCAACUAUGGCCGUCAGGCGUGACCAUCUUAACCGGUGCGGCUCCGGCAACAUGGCCGCUACAGACGCCCGGCUCGCCUUUGUCUACUGCUACUAGGGUAAGUGCCAGUCCAAAUUUCUCUCUGUGCAGUGUUCUUACCUCUGCUGCAAGUGUUUGUGCUAUGACUCCCCUUACUGCCAUGCUUCUUGUUAAUCUCAAGACCAAGGAAUUAAUCAAGCUUUACUCUAUGGUGUGGACGUGGUCUCCAGAUUUAUUCUAUAUUGUUUAUUCAAUUUUUAGCUCUACUACACUAUCCUCGCACUACUAUGAUUCUUUUUUAAUUAAGCUCAUAACUAGGAAUUAACCAGUGAAUUCCUACUGUCACCGACUUGAUUAAAAAGCGACAAGUUAAUUUCUUGUGAUGGUUAGGUGCUGCCACAAACUAAAUCUAAAUGUUGCUUCUACUGUGUGUGCGCGUGCACUCAUUUCUGCACCCUACAACAGUCAAGUGAACAUCGACAUUGAUCACUCAAAACAUUCUUAGAAAGGGGAUCAUGAAAGGGAAAAUAAGAGGAUGUCAGGAAUUUAUUUGUACAAGAUUUGCACAAAGUAUGUUUAUUUAUUUUUUUUGUUUUCAGAAUGAUGCAUGUGCAAAUGAGACAAGGCAAACAUUAGCCAAACAGUGUUCAAUACAACUAGGAAGGGAUCAUUAAGAUGAGUAGCAUACACAGGAAGCUUGAGCUAUUAGCUGUACAUGUAAAUCUUAGCAAGUUAAUAUUUGGGAUUUAAUUCUCAGCAUGACAUGUCUAUUAUAUACAUAGAUCUAGUACAAGACAGAGAUGGACAUGCACAGUACACAUGCAUCACUUAACCACCAUGUACUAAUUUGUCUUCAUCUAAUAUAUGUGCUUUCUUUUUCUAACCAUCAUUCUUCUUUUUACAGAGUAACUAGAGUCCAAAAGAGCAGGUGUUCAUGUUCUAAGCAAAGGUGAAGAUGGAUCAAGCAAACAAAGCUGCAAAAGCAAGGCACUUGAAUAGUACCUGAUGGCAACUCAGCAUCCGACCAAAAGAGUGGAUGGGGAUGGUGGGGAGAGCUUGGUUCUCUCUUGUGCGUGUUGUGUGCAGUAGAGGAAGUCAAAGGUGAAAGGAGGAGGCUGCUAUUUAUAGUAGUGUAGGGUGCUAGGUCGGUUUGGUAAAAGAGAGAUGAUGAGAAAAAGGGUUUCCCCCCGCUUUAUAGAUAAAGCAUCACCGAACAACCGAAUCCUGCCGAUACAAACACACACACCACACACCACACACACCCAAGGCUGGAUACAAGGACGCUGAUAACAGCAACACUACCCCGACAAAAUCCUAGCCAACAUCAGAUGAACACAAUCAGUACUACUACGAUGAUGUCGGGGCCCUCAACCAUGGGCGGGCCACCGCGAAGAGGAGAAGCCGAGUAGGACGAACAAUGAGCUCCAAAGGGGCGCCUUCAGCAAGGAAACGACACCAUCGUGUCGCCACCGCCCAAUCCAAGGAUUAGAGUUUCCCUCGGAGCACUCCGACGACAAAUGAGAUGCCGCGACGGCGCCUUCAAGAAGGGGACGACGCUGGAACGCCGCCGCCGUCGGCCUGGCAGAGCAGAACGGGUUUUCACCCCGGCCAACACUCAUCGUCACCGGAUUGGAUGAACGACCCACCCCGGUCAACACGCCGCCCACACGACCAUGCUGACCGGACAACGCCCGAGCCGCGUGCUCCGCCCAAGAGCACCCCGGCUACCACCAACCGGGCCGCCGCCACGGCAUCCGAGCCCCACCCUCAACCAGGACACACCGAACGGACGCGGCUGACCAGAACGAAGCGGAAGCUCGCCUUCCACCCCAAAGUCGACACCUUGGCAUGAUCGGUGACCUCGGCGGCCGGAUCAGGGCCAGGGGAACUCCGGCGGCCACCCGCGGCAGCCGCCAGAUGCAACGGAGGGGGCACCCUGCCCCUUCCCGGAGUCCCCUGCCACCACCAGUAGGCCUCGCGCGCACCACCACACCAUGGCGCCACCCCGGCCUGACGAGCCCGUCGCUGAGUCCAAAGAAGAGGGAGGGAGCUCACCCGAGUCCGACGCAGACGAACAGCCGCCGGAGAGAGCCGCCGUUGCCGCGUGCAGAUCGGACAACCACCAGGCCGCAGCAGCGCCGCUGCAGCCCACCCCACUCCGAGGUCAAGACCGACCUCGGCCACCGCCCCGCGCCGCCCGCCGACAUCCAGGAGCCGGAUCCGGGAGGAUGGGGCCGGAUCCGCGCGAGCACGCCACCGCCCAGAUCGGGAAACCCCGCGGCCGCCACGCCGCAGACGAGCUCGCCGUUCGACGUCGCGUCNNNNNNNNNNNNNNNNNNNNNNNNNNNNNNNNNNNNNNNNNNNNNNNNNNNNNNNNNNNNNNNNNNNNNNNNNNNNNNNNNNNNNNNNNNNNNNNNNNNNNNNNNNNNNNNNNNNNNNNNNNNNNNNNNNNNNNNNNNNNNNNNNNNNNNNNNNNNNNNNNNNNNNNNNNNNNNNNNNNNNNNNNNNNNNNNNNNNNNNNNNNNNNNNNNNNNNNNNNNNNNNNNNNNNNNNNNNNNNNNNNNNNNNNNNNNNNNNNNNNNNNNNNNNNNNNNNNNNNNNNNNNNNNNNNNNNNNNNNNNNNNNNNNNNNNNNNNNNNNNNNNNNNNNNNNNNNNNNNNNNNNNNNNNNNNNNNNNNNNNNNNNNNNNNNNNNNNNNNNNNNNNNNNNNNNNNNNNNNNNNNNNNNNNNNNNNNNNNNNNNNNNNNNNNNNNNNNNNNNNNNNNNNNNNNNNNNNNNNNNNNNNNNNNNNNNNNNNNNNNNNNNNNNNNNNNNNNNNNNNNNNNNNNNNNNNNNNNNNNNNGGCCGUCUCGCGCCAGCCGCGGAGCACGAGGGGGAGGAAGAAGAGGCCCCGCCGCCGCCCCCACCGGCCGGGCUUCGCCCGCCGGCGUCGCUGGGCGGCGGCGAGGGAGGAGAGCAGAGGAGGGGGAGGUGGGUUACGGCGGCUAGGGUUCCCCCCUGUCGCUCGCGAGAGCGACACGGGAGGGGACGGGGGUAGAUAAAUACAUAUGGAGCCGAGUCGUAAAAGAGAGAUGUGGCUGACAUGCCUGGUUGCAUGAGCAUGCAAGCCUCCACAUGUAAUCAUGUGAGUUGUACAACGGACAAGUGUAUAGUGCAUGGUUGGACACGAGUUGGCAUAUACUUUGUGUGUAAGGAAUGAGACAAGGGCCUAAUUGUAAAUCUGCAAACUAUAAGGGAGUUGGAGAAGAACCAAUGUACAUGGCUAAAUACUAACUUUUUUUGUUGCAAUAAAUUUUUGAUAUUAGUGUUGUGGUUAAUUAU